RNAcentral lists this long non-coding RNA (1136 nucleotides) under Triticum aestivum (bread wheat). RNAcentral describes it as "long non-coding RNA (TAES_LNC015463)". The record is from RNAcentral. Lineage: Eukaryota; Viridiplantae; Streptophyta; Magnoliopsida; Poales; Poaceae.
CCACCUCGGGCUCCUCCACCUCCUCUUCCUCCUCCACGGCCGCAUCGGGGCUCAGGUCCAGGCUCUUCUGCACCGACCGGUAGAUGCUCGACGCAAAGUCCUUGGGAUCCGGCAGGUUGAACCCGCUCUCCAUCAGCGCCGUCUGGUACACCAGCCUCGCCGUCUGCUUCAGGCCCUCGCUCUGCAAACACACACACACAUCAUCAAGUUAGCAAAUCAUCAGGCACCGUCGCCGCUUGCGGCGUUCAGAGAGCAAAAAUCGUGCUAUACAGGGAAGGCUGUACUUACGUCACUGUCCUGGGCGACCUUGUCGCGGAGCUCCUUGAUGAUGGGGUGCCUGGGGUUGAUCUCCAGGACCCGCUUGCCGCGCAUGUACGCCUGCUUGCUCGCGUCCGACAGGGUCUGCGCCUGCAUGAUCUUCUCCAUGUUGGAGCUCCACCCGUACUUGGAGGUGACCACCACGCAGGGGGUGUUGUGCAGCCGGUUGCUGAUCUUCACCGAGUCGAUGCCCUCCGUGUCCAGGGCCUUCUUCCACCAGUCCGUCAGCUCCUUGAACGACUCCUUGAGGUCCUUGAGCUUCGAGUCCUUGCCCAGCUUCAGGCCCUCCUUGGACACGUUCUGGAACUUCUUGUCCUCGUAGUCCAUGAGGUAUUGCAUCAGGUACUCGUCCACGGGGUCGGUGAAGUAGAUAACCUGCAAGAAGAAAUGUGGUUACUAUGUUACUUCACAAGCUUCAUAUAGAUUACCAUUUAAACCUGCUACAAAUGCCAAGCCUAGCACAAAGUUACCAGCUCCUGACACUCUGACAGGGGUGUGCAAGUUUAUCUAACAGGUGUUAAGUUACUCUCUGGCAGCAUUGGAAUUGACAUUACUGUAACUACAUACUGAAAUUCAAUCUGUGCGUUCAACUCAGAAUUUGAGUCCUAAAUCUCCUAAAAUGCUGUAUGGCAACAUAAUAUGUGUUGUGAUCUUCAGUAAAAACUGUGUUGUGAUCAAAUCAUCAUGUGAAUUUAAUUUGUUUCAAAAGUGCAUACGUGAGUAAGCGGGACAAAUAGCAAGUGCAGUGGUAACACAGUUGCAUAGGUACUACUAAACCUGACUGGAAUGAAAAGGGGACAUCACAGUAACAUACCUCG